This 330-nucleotide ribosomal RNA is filed under the name uncultured eukaryote. RNAcentral describes it as "partial 18S ribosomal RNA". It matches the Rfam family "Eukaryotic small subunit ribosomal RNA", at positions 1470 to 1796 of the family's 1831-position model. The record is from RNAcentral.
CCCUUAGAUGUUCUGGGCCGCACGCGCGCUACACUGAUACAAGCAGCAAGUUGUUUCCCUGACCGAAAGGUUUGGGUAAUCUUGUGAAAUUGUAUCGUGAUAGGGCUUGACGAUUGUAAUUAUUUGUCACAAACGAGGAAUUCCUAGUAAGCGCAAGUCAUCAACUUGCACUGAUUACGUCCCUGCCCUUUGUACACACCGCCCGUCGCUCCUACCGAUUGAAUGUUAAGGCGAACACUCCGGAAUCGUGGCCUCGAUUGGGCAACCUUUCUUGGCCAAUCGAUGAAGUUGUGUAAGCCUUGACAUUUAGAGGAAGGAAAANUCGUANCA